Molecule: non-coding RNA, 231 nt
Filed under: Reichenbachiella faecimaris
Lineage: Bacteria; Pseudomonadati; Bacteroidota; Cytophagia; Cytophagales; Reichenbachiellaceae
Source: RNAcentral
AGAUUUGCGGCAAUUAUUGGUUUUCGAAGGAAACGUAUCCUGAGAAAUUAAAAGGGAAUUCGGUGAAGUGCUUAGCGCUCAUUCCGAAGCUGUUCCCGCAACUGUAAUUCGAAGAUAUCCUUGUGAUAUCAUUUUUGAUCUACCAUUGCCACUGUCCUAAUGAAUCGGGAUGGGAAGGCCGAUCAAAAGAUUUCGAAGAGCCAGGAGACCUGCCAGUAGUUAUUAUUUAUC